Molecule: ribosomal RNA, 119 nt
Filed under: Labeo rohita (rohu)
Lineage: Eukaryota; Metazoa; Chordata; Actinopteri; Cypriniformes; Cyprinidae
Also listed under: 1 other name
Source: RNAcentral
GCUUACGGCCAUACCACCCUGAGCAUGCCCGAUCUCGUCUGAUCUCGGAAGCUAAGCAGGGUCGGGCCUGGUUAGUACUUGGAUGGGAGACCGCCUGGGAAUACCAGGUGCUGUAAGCU